UAGAGAAAGCCCGUGUUUAGCAACAAAGACCCAACACACACAAAAAGACCUUCCAGAUUCAAGAUAUCAAGUGGAUGAACAGGAGGGAGAGUCAGGUGGAAGAAGGAAUUGAAACACAGGAAAAGUAAUGGAUUGACCUAAAGUGAAGAAGGCGGUUAUUCCCCUUUUGGCACUGGUGUGAGGAUUGAAUGAGAUGGUGUAUGUACAGUCCUUGCCUGCAGGAAACACUCAUUGUUGUAGCCAUGAAGAGCCACUAGGUCUGACAACAAGAGCACUGUGUAUCAACUGGGCUUUUUCCAAGCAGUUCUUACAGAAAUCUCAGACAGCCUGGAUCAGAGUAAGAUGACGUCACAAGAUGACUUCCAGGCCCUCCCUGGCUCUUGGAAGGACACCCCUCGUGAUUCCAUCUCCUUUGGCAACCCCCUCCCUUAAUGAAUUCAUCCUCCACUUCCAGGCUCUGCUGCCCCUGCUAAGGCUUUCAGUUGUAUGUCGGCUGAGCCAGUGACUUCUAGAGCAGGCUCGGUCCACAGAGCCCCGCGAGACAGGGGUCUGCUUCCUGGCUCCUUCUCCACUCAGUGCAGUUUUUUGGAAGAAAAGCCCCCCAGUAGCCGGGCAGAGAAUGCUGUCUGUGCACCGUAGACACAGAGCCAUACCCAUAAAUGUGCAUCCCCCUGGGGAGAGCAGACAGCCAAGUCCUAGAAACUUGCCCUAGGAAAGUCCUGGAUGUGUUCAUAACUUGGAAGGAGAAAGACGUAAGAAGAAGGUGCACACGGUGAUCGGUUUAUUACACCAAGGAAGCAUUAGGAAAAUUAAUUAAAAGGUAAAAGAGAAUGAAAAGAAAGAAAUGUGGCAGCUCCCUCUGGCCCAGUCCCUUUUCUUGGAUCCAAGAAGCUGUGGGAUGUGACUUAACCUGACACACGAAGGUGGCACUUGGGUCAUAAGGCACCGUGCAGUGUGGCAGCUGUGCGUGUGUGUGCGAGAUUACCUGAGGCGAACUCAUGUCUUUUUAUCCGAAGCCAGGCUGAAUUGACGGCCUCGUGGAGGAUGCGGGGGGUGGGGGGGUCCCACUACCUCCUGAUGGUGUGAUUAGUGGUGCUGGGUGCAGCAGUUGAGCGGAGAGAAGGCCUGUGGGAGCUGAGCCGGCUCCUUUUGUGGUCUCUUACAAAGAAUCGUGUUGCAGAUAUAAGUACCUUGGAAGUACUGUUUGCACGUUGGCCUUUCUUUGGACUUGCUUCUUUAUCUGGUGGCAAAACAAACCGCAAAUCAAAGAGCAGCUUCUGCUGGCCUGUGUCUACGGGGAGGGCUGUUGUUGUUUACUCAGCCUGACUGGUUGCCCACCUUGCCUACACUUUCUGGAAACUUCUCAACUCUGAACUCCACAGAGAAGGGGUAAAUGGCUUCAAGGAGAACAUUUUCGUGUGCUGAAAUCAUAGAAUCAAAUACCACAAACGUUCACCAGCCGCCCGCUGUUUGCAAAGCCAGUGCCGAGCUCAGCCGGAGGCAGAAGGAACCGGGCUCUGGGAACUCACCACGGGGAGGAGAGACGGACACACUGACUCAAGAGCCCCAGAGGGUUCAAACACGAGGUUUUAGGUACAGGGGAGGAAGACACUGGUCUUGCAAUUUGCCAGACUGUCUCUACUUCUAGAACUGUCCUGCUGGCCACGGAAAUCGCACAUCUUGCAUCGCACCGCCCUGCACGGCUCUUGGCAACACUCAGACAACGCUGGCUGUGUGAAUGCUGCCAGGAGGGGAGAGUAGCUGGGUGUGGAAGGUCAGCUGGGGUCUCUGCUCACCAGUCAUUCAAGGAACCGGCCUGACAAGGCAGCCACCACCUCCAACCCUGAAGGUCUCCCAGGAUCAGGGAAGAAAGAGACACGGAGUGCUCGCUCCAGCAGUUCAACACUUAACCCAGGAGGGUCACACAUCGCUUCCACUCCCUGUGCAUUGUCCACGACAAGUUCAUGGUCCCACCGCCCACGGAGGGACCUGGCAGUGUGUCCACUAUGAUGACCACACGUGGAGACUAAGACAAGACCCAUUGCCACACGAGGCAGAAUGGGGCGGAUCGUAAGCUGUGUGCCACCGUUAAAGGGGAGGGAAAUAAUUUCCAUUUGUGGGCUCAGGAAAUGCUUUGUGGAUGAAGGAUGGACUUUUUGAGAUGAGUGAGACUGCAGUAGGCAAAGAUUGGGUGUAGGUGGGAUGAAAACCUAGACUGAAGGAAGACUGAGAGCAGGGGCUCAGGGUGGGCAAGAAGCCCGCCACUGAGGGAAUAAUACAGCACAGGUUUCCCGCGGAUGCAUAGGAAGGACGAGGUGGGAGGCUGGACUGAGUCCGCAUGGAGAAAUCUGUUGUCAGUUGGGCGGCCUGUGGAAGGUCCUGGAGGCGGCGGCUGGGACAUGAUCAAACCUGUGCUGUGGCUAGUUUCUUGGGACAGCGGCACAGAGGGACUUGAACUUACGACGUCAGGGGCAGGUGCGAGGCUAUUGCAGUACCUUAGGUGAGAGAGCAGGGGCCUGGGCCGGUGGGGCCGAUGAGGGGAGGGGUCUGAGACAUAAGGUGGACACCCCCAGAAGCCUGGAAUCGGACUUGUUAUGGGGCUAGAUAAUCAAAUGUAAUCAGAGGGAGUGGGUGAAGGAAAGAACGUGCCCUGAUUUCAAGCCUGCAUGAGGCUCUUGGAUGGAUCAACGGCGCUUCCCAAGAACCCCGGGGCUGUGUCUAAAGGAAGAUCAAGCCAAGUGUUGCUUCCACAGAAGACAGUGAAUGUGCUCCUGGUCCCACAGAUGCUGAUGUGGGCAAGAGCUUCCUGCUAAACCUAUUAAAUAUUUUCUUCUCCCAGGAACAUUUGAAUUAACUCAUAAUUUAUUUACUAAGUGUGCUGUAGAACUUGUGUGCUAACCCUCAUACAUUGACACUGACCAUGGAAAGUUCUUUUACAAUGUGUACUUUCUUAAUAUAGGGACCCGAAGCUGGUGUGAAAAUAUGUUUCCUGUCUUUCUUGGACUUAGAAGCACACGUAUUUUCCAAAAAAAUUUUGAGAGGCAUUAAGGAGGUACAGUGUGCGUGUGAGUUUAUUCUAUAUUCAUGAACAAGAAUUCAAUUCAGGAAACCUGAGAUAGAGGGAGAGGGUUUUGCAGAGUCAGUACUGUGUUACACACUGAUCGCUAUCCUGAAGCAAGUCCAAGGUCUAAUUAACCCUCCUUAGAUGGAACUAAAAUCAAAAUCCGCCAGAGGCUAAGGUUCUUUUAAUUUCAAUCCUGUCUUGCACACAUCAGAGAAAUUCAGCAAAUACCUGUGUGGAAUCUGCCCUGAACAACAGGCAUAUCUAUAAAGGCUUAGGAUCUGCUUUUCAGUGAACGUAAAGCUUUUGUUUUGUGGUAAAUCAUAGGCAUCAGUAAGCACAUUUUAAUGCUUUUAUGUUGUUGUCUUCUAAUCCGAUCAGGAAUGCCAGACAGUUUAGUAAACAGAUGAAUGCAAAGCCAGGAGUGUAUGAGUCAGUUUUUUCUUGGGAUUUUUGUGUAUUGUGGACAAUCACAUUGAUUCCAUAUUGAAGGAACAAGUUCUUGGUACCUGAGUCACAGAGACCAUACAAGGUCUUGCUACGUAGAGUAUGGACCCUGGACCAGCAGUGCUGGCAUGACCUGGGAGCUGGUUAGAAAUGCAGAAUCUCAGGCCAUACUUCAGACCUCUUGAAGCAGAACCUGCAUUUUAAAAAGAUAGGGGAUUUUGGUGCACACUGAGGUCUGAGAAACACUGACAUAAGGGACCCAACACAGGGAGUGGACUGAAGGAAGUUAAGUGACACAUGACCUGCAAAGAGCCGGAAGCUGGGUCAUUUUCAGCCGAAACUCGGGAUUUCUCUAAAUCCGGGAGCUUUCAGCUGCCUUGCAUUAUUAUUAUUGCUUUGCUCUUUUUCCCCCGGAGUUUCAUUGACAAAGUUGUUGUUGUUACUUUUCUCCUGGCAUAUUAGGAGGAUGCAAUUCUUUUCAGCAGGUUGACAAUUUUUUUUCCACGCAGACACAUUUAGUCUUCUUAGUUCCCUUGGAGGGUCUUUGAAAGCACGGACCAUUUAGUCUUUCUAGACUCGUCUUCUAGACUGGACCUUUCUGGUCUUCCAUUAGAAUCCUUCUAUUUCAAAGUGAUUGAAGACUGUCCAGCCGCCUAGCACCUCUCAGCCUUUUGACACUCAUGCCCCAUUUUGAAAAAUGUAAAGAUUCCAUGUCAUACUAUUCAGUGAAAAAAGCAAAGUCCAAAAGAGUGUUUAUAGUAUGCUACCCUUUGUGUAAGAAGGGGAUAUAAGAAAAUAGGUGUCUGAUCACUUGUGCAAAAGAAAUACAGAGAGGAUAAAUCAGAAACCAAGGUUGUUGGCUACCUACGGGAGGCAGGUGGGAAGGGUGGAGAGAAGAGGAAAAUGGGAGAGGGUGGGCAGGAGGAGGAGGGAGCCAUCCUUCUCUGAGAACAUCUUAUGUAACCAACUCUUCCUCUUAGACCAUAGUAAUGCUUCACAUAUCCCCCCAGUAAAUAAAUAAAUAGAUAAUUCAAAGCAACCAGGACGUGGAUGGGGAGACCCAAAAUGGGAUACAAAGACUAACAAAUGAAUGAACUCUAUUGCAACCAGACUGGGUACUGCGAGGCUAAGGACAAAAAGAACUGUGUAUAAACACUGUUUCUUAUAGGAGUAUGGGUUAGCAGGUCUGGAACUACUUUAUGUAUAUAGUGGAAUUGAACAAAUAAGUAAAUAUAUCAUAGAUAAAUGAGAGCUGGGUUCUCACUGUUGGAGAAGGAUGUUACAAAUAAGAAGAGGAACCAGUAUAAAAUGACCCCUGGGGGCUUCCCUGGUGGCGCAGUG
This is a long non-coding RNA of Aethalodelphis obliquidens (Pacific white-sided dolphin), 4849 nucleotides long. RefSeq lists it as uncharacterized. Lineage: Eukaryota; Metazoa; Chordata; Mammalia; Artiodactyla; Delphinidae. The transcript is spliced from 5 exons. The record is from RefSeq and is a predicted model, not a curated record.